RNAcentral lists this small RNA (2742 nucleotides) under Pan troglodytes (chimpanzee). RNAcentral's name for it is "retained intron". Lineage: Eukaryota; Metazoa; Chordata; Mammalia; Primates; Hominidae. The record is from RNAcentral.
CAUCCAGUUUUCUAAAUUAUGGAAAUUUUGUGGAAGACGUUGACCUGGAUUUUGAGCCUCAUCAUGGCUUCAUCGGAAUUUCAUAGUGACCACAGGCUUUCAUACAGUUCUCAAGAGGAAUUCCUGACUUAUCUUGAACACUACCAGCUAACUAUUCCAAUAAGGGUUGAUCAAAAUGGAGCAUUUCUCAGCUUUACUGUGAAAAAUGAUAAACACUCAAGGAGAAGACGGAGUAUGGACCCUAUUGAUCCACAGCAGGCAGUAUCUAAGUUAUUUUUUAAACUUUCAGCCUAUGGCAAGCACUUUCAUCUAAACUUGACUCUCAACACAGAUUUUGUGUCCAAACAUUUUACAGUAGAAUAUUGGGGGAAAGAUGGACCCCAGUGGAAACAUGAUUUUUUAGACAACUGUCAUUACACAGGAUAUUUGCAAGAUCAACGUAGCACAACUAAAGUGGCUUUAAGCAACUGUGUUGGGUUGCAUGGUGUUAUUGCUACAGAAGAUGAAGAAUAUUUUAUUGAACCUUUAAAGAAUACCACAGAGGAUUCCAAGCAUUUUAGUUAUGAAAAUGGCCACCCUCAUGUUAUUUACAAAAAGUCUGCCCUUCAACAACGACAUCUGUAUGAUCACUCUCAUUGUGGGGUUUCGGAUUUCACAAGAAGUGGCAAACCUUGGUGGCUGAAUGACACAUCCACUGUUUCCUAUUCACUACCAAUUAACAACACACAUAUCCACCACAGACAGAAGAGAUCAGUGAGCAUUGAACGGUUUGUGGAGACAUUGGUAGUGGCAGACAAAAUGAUGGUGGGCUACCAUGGCCGCAAAGACAUUGAACAUUACAUUUUGAGUGUGAUGAAUAUUGUUGCCAAACUUUACCGUGAUUCCAGCCUAGGAAACGUUGUGAAUAUUAUAGUGGCCCGCUUAAUUGUUCUCACAGAAGAUCAGCCAAACUUGGAGAUAAACCACCAUGCAGACAAGUCCCUCGAUAGCUUCUGUAAAUGGCAGAAAUCCAUUCUCUCCCACCAAAGUGAUGGAAACACCAUUCCAGAAAAUGGGAUUGCCCACCACGAUAAUGCAGUUCUUAUUACUAGAUAUGAUAUCUGCACUUAUAAAAAUAAGCCCUGUGGAACACUGGGCUUGGCCUCUGUGGCUGGAAUGUGUGAGCCUGAAAGGAGCUGCAGCAUUAAUGAAGACAUUGGCCUGGGUUCAGCUUUUACCAUUGCACAUGAGAUUGGUCACAAUUUUGGUAUGAACCAUGAUGGAAUUGGAAAUUCUUGUGGGACGAAAGGUCAUGAAGCAGCAAAACUUAUGGCAGCUCACAUUACUGCGAAUACCAAUCCUUUUUCCUGGUCUGCGUGCAGUCGAGACUACAUCACCAGCUUUCUAGAUUCAGGCCGUGGUACUUGCCUUGAUAAUGAGCCUCCCAAGCGUGACUUUCUUUAUCCAGCUGUGGCCCCAGGUCAGGUGUAUGAUGCUGAUGAGCAAUGUCGUUUCCAGUAUGGAGCAACCUCCCGCCAAUGUAAAUAUGGGGAAGUGUGUAGAGAGCUCUGGUGUCUCAGCAAAAGCAACCGCUGUGUCACCAACAGUAUUCCAGCAGCUGAGGGGACACUGUGUCAAACUGGGAAUAUUGAAAAAGGGUGGUGUUAUCAGGGAGAUUGUGUUCCUUUUGGCACUUGGCCCCAGAGCAUAGAUGGGGGCUGGGGUCCCUGGUCACUAUGGGGAGAGUGCAGCAGGACCUGCGGGGGAGGCGUCUCCUCAUCCCUAAGACACUGUGACAGUCCAGCACCUUCAGGAGGUGGAAAAUAUUGCCUUGGGGAAAGGAAACGGUAUCGCUCCUGUAACACAGAUCCAUGCCCUUUGGGUUCCCGAGAUUUUCGAGAGAAACAGUGUGCAGACUUUGACAAUAUGCCUUUCCGAGGAAAGUAUUAUAACUGGAAACCCUAUACUGGAGGUGGGGUAAAACCUUGUGCAUUAAACUGCUUGGCUGAAGGUUAUAAUUUCUACACUGAACGUGCUCCUGCGGUGAUCGAUGGGACCCAGUGCAAUGCGGAUUCACUGGAUAUCUGCAUCAAUGGAGAAUGCAAGCACGUAGGCUGUGAUAAUAUUUUGGGAUCUGAUGCUAGGGAAGAUAGAUGUCGAGUCUGUGGAGGGGACGGAAGCACAUGUGAUGCCAUUGAAGGGUUCUUCAAUGAUUCACUGCCCAGGGGAGGCUACAUGGAAGUGGUGCAGAUACCAAGAGGCUCUGUUCACAUUGAAGUCAGAGAAGUUGCCAUGUCAAAGAACUAUAUUGCUUUAAAAUCUGAAGGAGAUGAUUACUAUAUUAAUGGUGCCUGGACUAUUGACUGGCCUAGGAAAUUUGAUGUCGCUGGGACAGCUUUUCAUUACAAGAGACCAACUGAUGAACCAGAAUCCUUGGAAGCUCUAGGUCCUACCUCAGAAAAUCUCAUCGUCAUGGUUCUGCUUCAAGAACAGAAUUUGGGAAUUAGGUAUAAGUUCAAUGUUCCCAUCACUCGAACUGGCAGUGGAGAUAAUGAAGUUGGCUUUACAUGGAAUCAUCAGCCUUGGUCAGAAUGCUCAGCUACUUGUGCUGGAGGUAAGAUGCCCACUAGGCAGCCCACCCAGAGGGCAAGAUGGAGAACAAAACACAUUCUGAGCUAUGCUUUGUGUUUGUUAAAAAAGCUAAUUGGAAACAUUUCUUGCAGGUUUGCUUCAAGCUGUAAUUUAGCAAAAGAAACUUUGCUU